ACUGUGUUUGGCAUCGCAGUUCCGACGGCAGCCGCCGUUUCGCGACCCACGGCGGACUUGCAUAAACACUUUCUAGUUGGAAUCUCACCCUGUGAGGUGGGCAAGGUAGUGAUAUUCCUGUUUGACGCCGACAGAAAUAAGAGAGAUUGACUCUCAGAACCAUGUGGCGGGAUUUUAAAGGAGGAUCUUAACAGUGGCUCGGACAGACCCGUGUUUUCUGCUCCUAGCAUUAACUACGUCGUUAAACCCUUCUGAAUUUAUUUCGUCUGUGAAAUGGGGAAAAGAUAGCCACCUUGCAUAACUGGUGAAGAAUUCGUAAACUGACAGCAGAAUCUAGUAAGAGGACUGGCCCGUGGUCGGCUCUUAAUGGUGUCACAGAAUAAAGAAAAAGACUGGGAGAGAGAUGGGAGCUGAUAGACCAGAGGAGACCAAAGACUGAAACUGAAGACUAAACCAUGGAAAUUGGGAACAAGCACUUACUCGCUUAGAGGGUGAAAAAAGUGAAUUUGCCUACAGGGCCAAUUUGGAAGCACCUCUCCCUGGAAGCCAGUCAAUGAAGAGCCAUUGGAGGAUUUUAAAUAAGGAACCGAAAAAUGGAGUCUGAAAAUAGAGGCGCAGAGACCGGUCAACCACAAUGAAGAACAAGCCAUUUUGACCUCCAUCCUGGCUCAUCUCCUCUGUGUUCUCAUAGCAUCAUAUUAUAGAAUGGAUCACAAACGCCUUUGCAGUUGCCUAUUUAUUUGUCCAUUUCUCCCUCCAGACUGUGAGUUCCCAGAGGGCAUGUCUUAUCUAUGUUAGUAGCCACAUCCCCGGUAUCUGGCUCUGUGGACAACACUCCGUAACUGUUGGAGGAAUGAAUGAAUGAGUGAGUGAGUGAGUGAAUGUUUUCCCUGAAAUUCAAACCUUGAUGGUUGAACUUGUCAUUAUUUGGUUUACGGAACAAGCUAGGCUGAUUGAAUUGACUUGGCCAGGCACAAUUAGGCAAAAUGUAACACAAAGAAGAUGAGUACACCAGCCUUGCUGAUUGAGGAGAUCAGCUGUGGAUGAGCCAAGUGCCAGCUGCCAGCUGCAGUUGCAAGGCCAUGUUCUUCUUCUAGCUAGGAACAUUCUGUGGCAGAGACUCACUCAGGGGUCUGAAUAUCAGAAUCACAACCAGAAAAUGGCUCAUUAUUGCACAGACAAAUAAUUGGCGGCUCUCUCCAAGUAACAGUGUCUUAAGUUAGGUUCCCUAGAAG
This 1235-nucleotide long non-coding RNA is filed under the name Homo sapiens (human). RNAcentral's name for it is "non-protein coding SMIM2-AS1:19". Lineage: Eukaryota; Metazoa; Chordata; Mammalia; Primates; Hominidae. The record is from RNAcentral.